This 303-nucleotide ribosomal RNA is filed under the name uncultured bacterium. RNAcentral describes it as "partial 16S ribosomal RNA". It matches the Rfam family "Bacterial small subunit ribosomal RNA", at positions 507 to 807 of the family's 1533-position model. The record is from RNAcentral.
AGCAGUCGCCGCGGUAAUACGAAGAGUGCAAGCGUUAAUCGGAAUUACUGGGCGUAAAGCGUGCGUAGGCGGUUUGUUAAGUCUGUUGUGAAAUCCCCGAGCUUAACUUGGGAACUGCAUUUGAAACUGGCAAGCUAGAGUCUUGUAGAGGGGGGUAGAAUUCCAGGUGUAGCGGUGAAAUGCGUAGAGAUCUGGAGGAAUACCGGUGGCGAAGGCGGCCCCCUGGACAAAGACUGACGCUCAGGUGCGAAAGCGUGGGGAGCAAACAGGAUUAGAUACCCCGGUAGUCCCUGUCUCUUAUAC